GACUACUUUAUGCCAUCUGUAUAACGAUAUGUGGAUGGAAAGAGUAGCCCCAGUAAAACUUUUUAUUUUAAGUCGUGAACAAUUUUAAAAUAAAACAAUUUUAAUGCGGCCGCCACCAUUACCGCCACCAACAUUUCCGGCGCGGACGCUGAUUUUCCAGCGCGGCCAUGGCCCAAAACAGUUUCAAUAAGUUUCGCUAAAACUUUUACACGCCUCUUGGACCCCUUCCCGAGCAUACAGCACCCCAGCCAUGAACAUUCGGGAAACAACUGUAGAAAAAAACACGGCGCUGAGUGUAGGCGGACAUUUGUGCAGGAGCGUGGGCGUGGCCAUGGCACUAGUUCUGUUGGGUUCACUGUUGAAAAUUUGAGCGCGCUGAUGGGCAUUUUUACAACUGAAACGUUAACUAUGUGCAACUAGCCAAAGAAAGAAACAAAAAUAGAGCAAUAAAAAAAAAACUUAAAAUA
This is an RNA transcript of Drosophila novamexicana, 467 nucleotides long. RefSeq lists it as uncharacterized. The record is from RefSeq and is a predicted model, not a curated record. Lineage: Eukaryota; Metazoa; Arthropoda; Insecta; Diptera; Drosophilidae. The transcript is spliced from 2 exons.